GACGAACGCUGGCGGCGUGCCUAAUACAUGCAAGUCGAACGAAAGCGACAGGUGCUUGCACUGGUCAAUCUAGCGGCGAACGGGUGAGUAACACGUGGGUAACCUGCCUAUCAGAGGGGGAUAACAUCCGGAAACGGAUGCUAAAACCGGAUAAGUUUUCGAACCGCAUGGUUUGAUGAUGAAAAGCGGCGCUGGUGUCUGCUGUUGGUUGGUCCCGCGGUGCAUUAGUUAGUUGGUGAGGUAACGGUUUACCAAGGCAGUGAUGCAUAGCCGACAUGGGAGGGUGAUCGGCCACAUUGGAACUGAGACACGGUCCAGACUCCUACGGGAGGCAGCAGUAGGGAAUCUUCCGCAAUGGACGCAAGUCUGACGGAGCAACGCCGCGUGAGUGAAGAAGGUUUUCGGAUCGUAAAACUCUGUUGUUAGAGAAGAACAAGUGCGAGAGUAACUAUUAACGCCUUGACGGUAUCUAACCAGAAAGCCACGGCUAACUACGUG
RNAcentral lists this ribosomal RNA (498 nucleotides) under uncultured bacterium. RNAcentral's name for it is "partial 16S ribosomal RNA". It matches the Rfam family "Bacterial small subunit ribosomal RNA", at positions 28 to 507 of the family's 1533-position model. The record is from RNAcentral.